This 509-nucleotide ribosomal RNA is filed under the name uncultured bacterium. Its description in RNAcentral is "bacterial SSU rRNA". It matches the Rfam family "Bacterial small subunit ribosomal RNA", at positions 28 to 530 of the family's 1533-position model. The record is from RNAcentral.
GACGAACGCUGGCGGCGUGCCUAACACAUGCAAGUCGAGCGGAGUCGAUCGACGGAAGCCUUCGGGCGGAAGAUGGUUGACUUAGCGGCGGAUGGGUGAGUAACGCGUGGGCAACCUGCCUCGAAGACCGGGAUAACAGCCCGAAAGGGCUGCUAAUACCGGAUGUGGUCAAGGAUCCGCAUGGAUUUUUGAUUAAAGGGGAAACCCGUUUCGAGAUGGGCCCGCGUCCUAUCAGCUAGUUGGUGAGGUAAAAGCUCACCAAGGCGACGACGGGUAGCCGGCCUGAGAGGGUGACCGGCCACACUGGAACUGAGACACGGUCCAGACUCCUACGGGGGCAGCAGUGGGGAAUCUUCCACAAUGGGCGAAAGCCUGAUGGAGCGACGCCGCGUGAGCGAAAGAAGGCCUUCGGGUUGUAAAGCUCUGUCUGGAGGGACGAAGGAAGUGACGGUACUCCGGAGGAACGCCACGGCUAACUACGUGCCAGCAGCCGCGGUAAAGUCACGUGU